GUAAAGCGUGCGCAGGCGGUUUGUAAGUCAGAUGUGAAAUCCCCGAGCUCAACUUGGGAACUGCGUUUGAAACUACAAGACUAGAAUAUGUCAGAGGGGGGUAGAAUUCCACGUGUAGCAGUGAAAUGCGUAGAGAUGUGGAGGAAUACCAAUGGCGAAGGCAGCCCCCUGGGAUAAUAUUGACGCUCAUGCACGAAAGCGGUGGGGAGCAAACAGGAUUAGAUACCCGU
Molecule: ribosomal RNA, 230 nt
Filed under: uncultured bacterium
Lineage: Bacteria
Description: partial 16S ribosomal RNA
Rfam family: Bacterial small subunit ribosomal RNA
Source: RNAcentral